RNAcentral lists this long non-coding RNA (231 nucleotides) under Elaeis guineensis (African oil palm). RNAcentral's name for it is "long non-coding RNA (EGUI_LNC076114)". Lineage: Eukaryota; Viridiplantae; Streptophyta; Magnoliopsida; Arecales; Arecaceae. The record is from RNAcentral.
CUAUGCUUUGAUGCCAAAAUUAAUUAAAAUUUUUAUGGCAUAUAGAGAAGGAAGAGUUCUUCUACUACAAGUAUCUAAAAUAUCAAAAUUUUACUCAGUAAAUUUAUUUGGCACGUGGGAAGUUGGAGCACCAAAGACUGGCACCCCUUCAUCUCAUGUGACGUCCCUUGGUCCCCUAUUUAUAGGGGACACCCCACAUAGUUUCCUAUUGAGAUUUUUUGCUAAAAUCAG